GACGAACGCUGGCGGCGUGCCUAAUACAUGCAAGUAGAACGCACAGUAUAUACCGUAGCUUGCUACACCAUAGACUGUGAGUUGCGAACGGGUGAGUAACGCGUAGGUAACCUGCCUGGUAGCGGGGGAUAACUAUUGGAAACGAUAGCUAAUACCGCAUAAUAUUGAUUAUUGCAUGAUAAUUGAUUGAAAGAUGCAACUGCAUCACUACCAGAUGGACCUGCGUUGUAUUAGCUAGUAGGUGAGGUAACGGCUCACCUAGGCGACGAUACAUAGCCGACCUGAGAGGGUGAUCGGCCACACUGGGACUGAGACACGGCCCAGACUCCUACGGGAGGCAGCAGUAGGGAAUCUUCGGCAAUGGACGAAAGUCUGACCGAGCAACGCCGCGUGAGUGAAGAAGGUUUUCGGAUCGUAAAGCUCUG
RNAcentral lists this ribosomal RNA (425 nucleotides) under Streptococcus gordonii. RNAcentral's name for it is "bacterial SSU rRNA". It matches the Rfam family "Bacterial small subunit ribosomal RNA", at positions 28 to 435 of the family's 1533-position model. The record is from RNAcentral. Lineage: Bacteria; Bacillati; Bacillota; Bacilli; Lactobacillales; Streptococcaceae.